AACGAACGCUGGCGGCAUGCCUAACACAUGCAGGUCGAACGAUCCCUUCGGGGAUAGUGGCGCACGGGUGCGUAACGCGUGGGAACCUGCCCUUAGGUUCGGAAUAACUCAGAGAAAUUUGAGCUAAUACCGGAUAAUGCCUUCGGACCAAAGAUUUAUCGCCUUUGGAUGGGCCCGCGUUGGAUUAGCUAGUUGGUGGGGUAAAGGCCUACCAAGGCGACGAUCCAUAGCUGGUCUGAGAGGAUGAUCAGCCACACUGGGACUGAGACACGGCCCAGACUCCUACGGGAGGCAGCAGUGGGGAAUAUUGGACAAUGGGCGAAAGCCUGAUCCAGCAAUGCCGCGUGAGUGAUGAAGGCCUUAGGGUUGUAAAGCUCUUUUACCCGGGAUGAUAAUGACAGUACCGGGAGAAUAAGCCCCGGCUAACUCCGUG
Molecule: ribosomal RNA, 433 nt
Filed under: uncultured bacterium
Lineage: Bacteria
Description: partial 16S ribosomal RNA
Rfam family: Bacterial small subunit ribosomal RNA
Source: RNAcentral